This 176-nucleotide ribosomal RNA is filed under the name uncultured bacterium. RNAcentral describes it as "partial 16S ribosomal RNA". It matches the Rfam family "Bacterial small subunit ribosomal RNA", at positions 332 to 525 of the family's 1533-position model. The record is from RNAcentral.
AGCAGUCCUACGGGAGGCACCAGUGGGGAAUAUUGGACAAUGGGCGCAAGCCUGAUCCAGCCAUGCCGCGUGAGUGAUGAAGGCCCUAGGGUUGUAAAGCUCUUUUGUGCGGGAAGAUAAUGACGGUACCGCAAGAAUAAGCCCCGGCUAACUUCGUGCCAGCAGCCGCGGUAAUA